RNAcentral lists this ribosomal RNA (497 nucleotides) under uncultured bacterium. RNAcentral describes it as "partial 16S ribosomal RNA". It matches the Rfam family "Bacterial small subunit ribosomal RNA", at positions 28 to 507 of the family's 1533-position model. The record is from RNAcentral.
GACGAACGCUGGCGGCGUGCCUAAUACAUGCAAGUUGAGCGCUGAAGGUUGGUACUUGUACCAACUGGAUGAGCAGCGAACGGGUGGGUAACGCGUGGGGAAUCUGCCUUUGAGCGGGGGACAACAUUUGGAAACGAAUGCUAAUACCGCAUAAAAACUUUAAACACAAGUUUUAAGUUUGAAAGAUGCAAUUGCAUCACUCAAAGAUGAUCCCGCGCUGUAUUAGCUAGUUGGUGAGGUAAAGGCUCACCAAGGCGAUGAUACAUAGCCGACCUGAGAGGGUGAUCGGCCACAUUGGGACUGAGACACGGCCCAAACUCCUACGGGAGGCAGCAGUAGGGAAUCUUCGGCAAUGGACGAAAGUCUGACCGAGCAACGCCGCGUGAGUGAAGAAGGUUUUCGGAUCGUAAAACUCUGUUGGUAGAGAAGAACGUUGGUGAGAGUGGAAAGCUCAUCAAGUGACGGUAACUACCCAGAAAGGGACGGCUAACUACGUG